Molecule: ribosomal RNA, 1120 nt
Filed under: uncultured Arthrobacter sp.
Lineage: Bacteria; Bacillati; Actinomycetota; Actinomycetes; Micrococcales; Micrococcaceae
Description: bacterial SSU rRNA
Rfam family: Bacterial small subunit ribosomal RNA
Source: RNAcentral
AGAGUUUGAUCCUGGCUCAGGAUGAACGCUGGCGGCGUGCUUAACACAUGCAAGUCGAACGAUGAUCCGGUGCUUGCACCGGUGAUUAGUGGCGAACGGGUGAGUAACACGUGAGUAACCUGCCCUUGACUCUGGGAUAAGCCUGGGAAACUGGGUCUAAUACCGGAUAUGACCUUCCAUCGCAUGGUGGUUGGUGGAAAGCUUUUGUGGUUUUGGAUGGACUCGCGGCCUAUCAGCUUGUUGGUGAGGUAAUGGCUUACCAAGGCGACGACGGGUAGCCGGCCUGAGAGGGUGACCGGCCACACUGGGACUGAGACACGGCCCAGACUCCUACGGGAGGCAGCAGUGGGGAAUAUUGCACAAUGGGCGCAAGCCUGAUGCAGCGACGCCGCGUGAGGGAUGACGGCCUUCGGGUUGUAAACCUCUUUCAGUAGGGAAGAAGCGAAAGUGACGGUACCUGCAGAAGAAGCGCCGGCUAACUACGUGCCAGCAGCCGCGGUAAUACGUAGGGCGCAAGCGUUAUCCGGAAUUAUUGGGCGUAAAGAGCUCGUAGGCGGUUUGUCGCGUCUGCCGUGAAAGUCCGGGGCUCAACUCCGGAUCUGCGGUGGGUACGGGCAGACUAGAGUGAUGUAGGGGAGACUGGAAUUCCUGGUGUAGCGGUGAAAUGCGCAGAUAUCAGGAGGAACACCGAUGGCGAAGGCAGGUCUCUGGGCAUUACUGGACGCCUGAGGAGCGAAAGCAUGGGGAGCGAACAGGAUUAGAUACCCUGGUAGUCCAUGCCGUAAACGUUGGGGCACUAGGUGUGGGGGACAUUCCACGUUUUCCGCGCCGUAAGCUAACGCAUUAAGUGCCCCGCCUGGGGAGUACGGCCGCAAGGCUAAAACUCAAAGGAAUUGACGGGGGCCCGCACAAGCGGCGGAGCAUGCGGAUUAAUUCGAUGCAACGCGAAGAACCUUACCAAGGCUUGACAUGGACCGGACCGCCGCAGAAAUGUGGUUUCCCCUUUGGGGCUGGUUUACAGGUGGUGCAUGGUUGUCGUCAGCUCGUGUCGUGAGAUGUUGGGUUAAGUCCCGCAACGAGCGCAACCCUCGUUCUAUGUUGCCAGCACGUGAUGGUGGGG